AGAGUUUGAUUCUGGCUCAGGACGAACGCUGGCGGCGUGCUUAACACAUGCAAGUCGAACGGAAAGGNNUGCGGUGUGGGAUGGGCCCGCGGCCUAUCAGCUUGUUGGUGGGGUGAUGGCCUACCAAGGCGACGACGGGUAGCCGGCCUGAGAGGGUGUCCGGCCACACUGGGACUGAGAUACGGCCCAGACUCCUACGGGAGGCAGCAGUGGGGAAUAUUGCACAAUGGGCGCAAGCCUGAUGCAGCGACGCCGCGUGGGGGAUGACGGCCUUCGGGUUGUAAACCUCUUUCAGCAGGGACGAAGCGCAAGUGACGGUACCUGCAGAAGAAGCACCGGCCAACUACGUGCCAGCAGCCGCGGUAAUACGUAGGGUGCGAGCGUUGUCCGGAAUUACUGGGCGUAAAGAGCUCGUAGGUGGUUUGUCGCGUUGUUCGUGAAAACCGAGGGCUUAACUCUCGGCGUGCGGGCGAUACGGGCAGACUAGAGUACUGCAGGGGAGACUGGAAUUCCUGGUGUAGCGGUGGAAUGCGCAGAUAUCAGGAGGAACACCGGUGGCGAAGGCGGGUCUCUGGGCAGUAACUGACGCUGAGGAGCGAAAGCGUGGGGAGCGAACAGGAUUAGAUACCCUGGUAGUCCACGCCGUAAACGGUGGGUACUAGGUGUGGGUUUCCUUCCUUGGGAUCCGUGCCGUAGCUAACGCAUUAAGUACCCCGCCUGGGGAGUACGGCCGCAAGGCUAAAACUCAAAGAAAUUGACGGGGGCCCGCACAAGCGGCGGAGCAUGUGGAUUAAUUCGAUGCAACGCGAAGAACCUUACCUGGGUUUGACAUGCACAGGACGCGUCUAGAGAUAGGCGUUCCCUUGUGGCCUGUGUGCAGGUGGUGCAUGGCUGUCGUCAGCUCGUGUCGUGAGAUGUUGGGUUAAGUCCCGCAACGAGCGCAACCCUUGUCUCAUGUUGCCAGCGCGUAAUGGCGGGGACUCGUGAGAGACUGCCGGGGUCAACUCGGAGGAAGGUGGGGAUGACGUCAAGUCAUCAUGCCCCUUAUGUCCAGGGCUUCACACAUGCUACAAUGGCCGGUACAAAGGGCUGCGAUGCCGCAAGGCUUAGCGAAUCCUUUUAAAGCCGGUCUCAGUUCGGAUCGGGGUCUGCAACUCGACCCCGUGAAGUCGGAGUCGCUAGUAAUCGCAGAUCAGCAACGCUGCGGUGAAUACGUUCCCGGGCCUUGUACACACCGCCCGUCACGUCAUGAAAGUCGGUAACACCCGAAGCCAGUGGCCUAACCCUUUGGGAGGGAGCUGUCGAAGGUGGGAUCGGCGAUUGGGACGAAGUCGUAACAAGGUAGCCGUACCGGAAGGUGCGGCUG
This 1366-nucleotide ribosomal RNA is filed under the name Mycobacterium sp. RNAcentral's name for it is "bacterial SSU rRNA". It matches the Rfam family "Bacterial small subunit ribosomal RNA". Lineage: Bacteria; Bacillati; Actinomycetota; Actinomycetes; Mycobacteriales; Mycobacteriaceae. The record is from RNAcentral.